Meriones unguiculatus (Mongolian gerbil) is the source of this 106-nucleotide small nuclear RNA. The record is from RefSeq and is a predicted model, not a curated record. NCBI's taxonomy places the organism in Eukaryota, Metazoa, Chordata, Mammalia, Rodentia, Muridae.
GUGCUUGCUUUGACAGCUCUAAUGCUAAAAUUGGAACAAUGCAGGGAAGACUAGCAUAGGCCUCUACAAGAAUGACAUGCAAAUUCGUGACACAUUCCGUGUAUUC